ACGUCACGUAUUUGUAAGUCGCUCUGGAUAAGAACGUCUGCUAAAUGACGUAAA
Salmo salar (Atlantic salmon) is the source of this 54-nucleotide non-coding RNA. The record is from Rfam. NCBI's taxonomy places the organism in Eukaryota, Metazoa, Chordata, Actinopteri, Salmoniformes, Salmonidae.